RNAcentral lists this ribosomal RNA (2902 nucleotides) under Escherichia coli KTE201. RNAcentral describes it as "bacterial LSU rRNA". It matches the Rfam family "Bacterial large subunit ribosomal RNA". Lineage: Bacteria; Pseudomonadati; Pseudomonadota; Gammaproteobacteria; Enterobacterales; Enterobacteriaceae. The record is from RNAcentral.
UUAAGCGACUAAGCGUACACGGUGGAUGCCCUGGCAGUCAGAGGCGAUGAAGGACGUGCUAAUCUGCGAUAAGCGUCGGUGAGGUGAUAUGAACCGUUAUAACCAGCGAUUUCCGAAUGGGGAAACCCAGUGUGUUUCGACACACUAUCAUUAACUGAAUCCAUAGGUUAAUGAGGCGAACCGGGGGAACUGAAACAUCUAAGUACCCCGAGGAAAAGAAAUCAACCGAGAUUCCCCCAGUAGCGGCGAGCGAACGGGGAGGAGCCCAGAGCCUGAAUCAGUGUGUGUGUUAGUGGAAGCGUCUGGAAAGGCGUGCGAUACAGGGUGACAGCCCCGUACACAAAAAUGCACAUAUUGUGAGCUCGAUGAGUAGGGCGGGACACGUGGUAUCCUGUCUGAAUAUGGGGGGACCAUCCUCCAAGGCUAAAUACUCCUGACUGACCGAUAGUGAACCAGUACCGUGAGGGAAAGGCGAAAAGAACCCCGGCGAGGGGAGUGAAAAAGAACCUGAAACCGUGUACGUACAAGCAGUGGGAGCCUCUUAAUGGGGUGACUGCGUACCUUUUGUAUAAUGGGUCAGCGACUUAUAUUCUGUAGCAAGGUUAACCGAAUAGGGGAGCCGAAGGGAAACCGAGUCUUAACUGGGCGUUAAGUUGCAGGGUAUAGACCCGAAACCCGGUGAUCUAGCCAUGGGCAGGUUGAAGGUUGGGUAACACUAACUGGAGGACCGAACCGACUAAUGUUGAAAAAUUAGCGGAUGACUUGUGGCUGGGGGUGAAAGGCCAAUCAAACCGGGAGAUAGCUGGUUCUCCCCGAAAGCUAUUUAGGUAGCGCCUCGUGAAUUCAUCUCCGGGGGUAGAGCACUGUUUCGGCAAGGGGGUCAUCCCGACUUACCAACCCGAUGCAAACUGCGAAUACCGGAGAAUGUUAUCACGGGAGACACACGGCGGGUGCUAACGUCCGUCGUGAAGAGGGAAACAACCCAGACCGCCAGCUAAGGUCCCAAAGUCAUGGUUAAGUGGGAAACGAUGUGGGAAGGCCCAGACAGCCAGGAUGUUGGCUUAGAAGCAGCCAUCAUUUAAAGAAAGCGUAAUAGCUCACUGGUCGAGUCGGCCUGCGCGGAAGAUGUAACGGGGCUAAACCAUGCACCGAAGCUGCGGCAGCGACACUAUGUGUUGUUGGGUAGGGGAGCGUUCUGUAAGCCUGUGAAGGUGGCCUGUGAGGGUUGCUGGAGGUAUCAGAAGUGCGAAUGCUGACAUAAGUAACGAUAAAGCGGGUGAAAAGCCCGCUCGCCGGAAGACCAAGGGUUCCUGUCCAACGUUAAUCGGGGCAGGGUGAGUCGACCCCUAAGGCGAGGCCGAAAGGCGUAGUCGAUGGGAAACAGGUUAAUAUUCCUGUACUUGGUGUUACUGCGAAGGGGGGACGGAGAAGGCUAUGUUGGCCGGGCGACGGUUGUCCCGGUUUAAGCGUGUAGGCUGGUUUUCCAGGCAAAUCCGGAAAACCAAGGCUGAGGCGUGAUGACGAGGCACUACGGUGCUGAAGCGACAAAUGCCCUGCUUCCAGGAAAAGCCUCUAAGCAUCAGGUAACAUCAAAUCGUACCCAAAACCGACACAGGUGGUCAGGUAGAGAAUACCAAGGCGCUUGAGAGAACUCGGGUGAAGGAACUAGGCAAAAUGGUGCCGUAACUUCGGGAGAAGGCACGCUGAUAUGUAGGUGAAGCGACUUGCUCGUGGAGCUGAAAUCAGUCGAAGAUACCAGCUGGCUGCAACUGUUUAUUAAAAACACAGCACUGUGCAAACACGAAAGUGGACGUAUACGGUGUGACGCCUGCCCGGUGCCGGAAGGUUAAUUGAUGGGGUUAGCGGUAACGCGAAGCUCUUGAUCGAAGCCCCGGUAAACGGCGGCCGUAACUAUAACGGUCCUAAGGUAGCGAAAUUCCUUGUCGGGUAAGUUCCGACCUGCACGAAUGGCGUAAUGAUGGCCAGGCUGUCUCCACCCGAGACUCAGUGAAAUUGAACUCGCUGUGAAGAUGCAGUGUACCCGCGGCAAGACGGAAAGACCCCGUGAACCUUUACUAUAGCUUGACACUGAACAUUGAGCCUUGAUGUGUAGGAUAGGUGGGAGGCUUUGAAGUGUGGACGCCAGUCUGCAUGGAGCCGACCUUGAAAUACCACCCUUUAAUGUUUGAUGUUCUAACGUUGGCCCGUAAUCCGGGUUGCGGACAGUGUCUGGUGGGUAGUUUGACUGGGGCGGUCUCCUCCUAAAGAGUAACGGAGGAGCACGAAGGUUGGCUAAUCCUGGUCGGACAUCAGGAGGUUAGUGCAAUGGCAUAAGCCAGCUUGACUGCGAGCGUGACGGCGCGAGCAGGUGCGAAAGCAGGUCAUAGUGAUCCGGUGGUUCUGAAUGGAAGGGCCAUCGCUCAACGGAUAAAAGGUACUCCGGGGAUAACAGGCUGAUACCGCCCAAGAGUUCAUAUCGACGGCGGUGUUUGGCACCUCGAUGUCGGCUCAUCACAUCCUGGGGCUGAAGUAGGUCCCAAGGGUAUGGCUGUUCGCCAUUUAAAGUGGUACGCGAGCUGGGUUUAGAACGUCGUGAGACAGUUCGGUCCCUAUCUGCCGUGGGCGCUGGAGAACUGAGGGGGGCUGCUCCUAGUACGAGAGGACCGGAGUGGACGCAUCACUGGUGUUCGGGUUGUCAUGCCAAUGGCACUGCCCGGUAGCUAAAUGCGGAAGAGAUAAGUGCUGAAAGCAUCUAAGCACGAAACUUGCCCCGAGAUGAGUUCUCCCUGACUCCUUGAGGGUCCUGAAGGAACGUUGAAGACGACGACGUUGAUAGGCCGGGUGUGUAAGCGCAGCGAUGCGUUGAGCUAACCGGUACUAAUGAACCGUGAGGCUUAACCUU